Molecule: ribosomal RNA, 567 nt
Filed under: uncultured bacterium
Lineage: Bacteria
Description: bacterial SSU rRNA
Rfam family: Bacterial small subunit ribosomal RNA
Source: RNAcentral
CACGGGGGGACUCCUACGGGAGGCAGCAGUGAGGAAUUUUCCGCAAUGGGCGCAAGCCUGACGGAGCAAUGCCGCGUGAAGGAAGAAGGCCCGUGGGUUGUAAACUUCUUUUCUUAGAGAAGAAUCCGAGAGGAGGACGGUAUUUGAGGAAUAAGCAUCGGCUAACCCUGUGCCAGCAGCCGCGGUAAUACAGAGGAUGCAAGCGUUAUCCGGAAUGAUUGGGCGUAAAGGGUCUGUAGGUGGUUUCGACAGUCUGCUGUUAAAUCUCAGGGCUCAACCCUGUUAAGGCAGCAUGAAACUACGAAUCUUGAGUACGGUAGGGGCAGAGGGAAUUCCCGGUGGAGUGGUGAAAUACGUAGAUCUCGGGAAGAACACCAAAGGCGAAAGCACUCUGCUGGGCCGAGACUGACACUGACGGACGAAAGCUAGGGGAGCGAAAGGGAUUAGAUACCCCUGUAGUCCUAACCGUAAACGAUGGACACUAAGUGUUGGGUGGCUGAGUUGUAAACGGGCUGUUAGAUUACAGGAUCGUCGCUUAGAGAAANCAUCCCAGUNCUAAAGCUAACC